This 434-nucleotide ribosomal RNA is filed under the name uncultured Clostridium sp. RNAcentral describes it as "partial 16S ribosomal RNA". It matches the Rfam family "Bacterial small subunit ribosomal RNA", at positions 341 to 792 of the family's 1533-position model. The record is from RNAcentral. Lineage: Bacteria; Bacillati; Bacillota; Clostridia; Eubacteriales; Clostridiaceae. RNAcentral also lists the same sequence under 1 other name.
ACGGGAGGCAGCAGUGGGGAAUAUUGGGCAAUGGGCGAAAGCCUGACCCAGCAACGCCGCGUGAAGGAAGAAGGUCUUCGGAUUGUAAACUUUUGUCUUAUGGGACGAUAAUGACGGUACCAUAGGAGGAAGCCACGACUAACUACGUGCCAGCAGUCGCGGUAAUACGUAGGUGGCGAGCGUUAUCCGGAAUUAUUGGGUGUAAAGGGUGCGUAGGCGGGAUGUAAAGUCAGAUGUGAAAUGCAAAGGCUCAACCUUUGAACUGCAUUUGAAACUUACAUUCUUGAGUGGAGUAGAGGCAAGCGGAAUUCCCGGUGUAGCGGUGAAAUGCAUAGAUAUCGGGAGGAACACCGGUGGCGAAGGCGGCUUGCUGGGCUUUUACUGACGCUGAGGCACGAAAGUGUGGGGAGCAAACAGGAUUAGAUACCCUGGUA